GAGCUGCAAUCCCUGAACCAACGAUACCAAGUACAAGAAACUCAGGUACAAAAGCUGCAGGAUCAGAACCAAGGUAUGUAGUUUAGUUUUACUAAAAAUGUUUUCUACAGAGUUUUGAAGAAGUUUUUAUACCCCAUGACUUUUACAUAUUUUAUUACGUUACAAUCACAAAUUUAAUGUUUAUUUUUUAGGUUUUACUUGAUAAACUAACUCAGACUAACUCUUGAUUGUGAAUUACAGAAACAUUUAUUCAAGAUCAAUUAUUAAAUCAUCAUUUUGUUGAUCUGUCUUCUGGCCCUAAUAAAAUCAUGGAAGAUAUUUGUGAUUAUAAACAGUUUUAGUAGCAGGAAGAAAUUUCUGUUCCAAACAAAUUCAGGUUUUUAAUUCUAAUAAACAUUUCCUCAGAUUAAUUAGUCUAAAGAAAAUCUUUGAAUUGAUUCCAUCUCUUUGGUAAUUCUCUCA
Long non-coding RNA from Xiphophorus couchianus (Monterrey platyfish), 462 nucleotides. RefSeq lists it as uncharacterized. Lineage: Eukaryota; Metazoa; Chordata; Actinopteri; Cyprinodontiformes; Poeciliidae. The transcript has 3 exons. The record is from RefSeq and is a predicted model, not a curated record.